GAGCGGCGAACGGGUGAGUAACAUAUCGGAACGUAUCCUUAAGUGGGGGACAACCUAGCGAAAGUUAGGCUAAUACCGCAUACGCAGGGAACUGGAAAGUGGGGGAUCGCAAGACCUCACGCUUUUGGAGCGGCCGAUAUCAGAUUAGCUUGUUGGUGAGGUAAAGGCUCACCAAGGCGACGAUCUGUAGCUGGUCUGAGAGGAUGAUCAGCCACACUGGGACUGAGACACGGCCCAGACUCCUACGGGAGGCAGCAGUGGGGAAUUUUGGACAAUGGGGGCAACCCUGAUCCAGCCAUUCCGCGUGAGUGAAGAAGGCCUUCGGGUUGUAAAGCUCUUUUGUUCGAGACGAAACGGUUACGGUUAAUAACUGUGACUAAUGACGGUACCGGAAGAAUAAGCACCGGCUAACUACGUGCCAGCAGCCGCGGUAAUACGUAGGGUGCGAGCGUUAAUCGGAAUUACUGGGCGUAAAGCGUGCGCAGGCGGUUUUAUAAGCCAGAUGUGAAAUCCCCGGGCUCAACCUGGGAAUGGCAUUUGGGACUGUAAGGCUAGAGUAUGGCAGAGGAGACUAGAAUUCCUGGUGUAGCAGUGAAAUGCGUAGAUAUCAGGAGGAAUACCGAUGGCGAAGGCAGGUCUCUGGGUCAAUACUGACGCUCAUGCACGAAAGCGUGGGGA
This 678-nucleotide ribosomal RNA is filed under the name uncultured bacterium. RNAcentral describes it as "bacterial SSU rRNA". It matches the Rfam family "Bacterial small subunit ribosomal RNA", at positions 93 to 767 of the family's 1533-position model. The record is from RNAcentral.